GUGCCCGUAACUCAGUGGUAGAGUGUGAGAUUGCAAUUGCCAGGUUGCCUGGGCCGUUUGCAUAAUCUUGAAGCCCCGUGUUCGACCCACGGCGGGCACU
Non-coding RNA from Marasmius oreades (fairy-ring Marasmius), 100 nucleotides. NCBI's taxonomy places the organism in Eukaryota, Fungi, Basidiomycota, Agaricomycetes, Agaricales, Marasmiaceae. The record is from the annotation of a RefSeq genome assembly.